AGAGUUUGAUCCUGGCUCAGAAUCAACGCUGGCGGCGUGCCUCAGACAUGCAAGUCGAACGCGAAAGUCCCCUUCGGGGGAUUAGUAGAGUGGCGCCCGGGUGAGUAACACGUAGGUAAUCUACCUUUGGGUGGGGAAUAACGCAGGGAAACUUGCGCUAAUACCGCAUAAUGCAGCGGCACCACAUGGUGACAGUUGUUAAAGCGGGGGAUUUUCGAACCUCGCGCCUGAAGAGGAGCCUGCGGCAGAUUAGCUAGUUGGUAGGGUAACGGCUUACCAAGGCGACGAUCUGUAGCCGGCCUGAGAGGGCGGUCGGCCACACUGACACUGACACACGGGUCAGACUCCUACGGGAGGCAGCAGUCGGGAAUUUUGGGCAAUGGGCGAAAGCCUGACCCAGCAACGCCGCGUGAAGGAUGAAAUCCUUCGGGAUGUAAACUUCGCAAGAAUAGGAAGAAUGAGUAGGGGCUAAUACUCCCUAUGAUGACGGUACUAUUUGUAAGCUCCGGCUAACUCCGUGCCAGCAGCCGCGGUAAU
RNAcentral lists this ribosomal RNA (537 nucleotides) under uncultured soil bacterium. RNAcentral describes it as "bacterial SSU rRNA". It matches the Rfam family "Bacterial small subunit ribosomal RNA", at positions 8 to 524 of the family's 1533-position model. The record is from RNAcentral.